UAUGGACAUGAUUAUGUGAAACAUGAAUUGAAUUGAUAUGAUUGCAUAUAUAUAUUUGUGUAUAUGCUUAUAUCUCGAUUAUGGGAAAAAUUAUACAUGUUUUACAGCGAAGGGUUAGUUAUGUUGAUAAAUGAAAUUGUUUUGUAAAACAUUUGUUUUUGCCCACUCACGUUUUCUGUUUUGUGCCCCUCGAGGUUUUAAGUAAGAUUGUUGUUGGUGGCUUGAGGAUGUCGACAUUUCUGACCUAUCUAAAUAAUAGUAGGACAUUCUUGGUACUGUAUAACUAGUACUUGUCCUACUAGACUGCACCUAGACUUAUUAUGCUCUGAUUAGGAGUGUUUACUUUUGUAACUAACUCCUAUCACUUCCUGUUGAGUAGUGCACUCUAGUAAUUCGAUUUUUAAUUAUUCGUAUAUUUCCUAUCAUUAUUGCUUCCGCACUGUGCACAUGGCUACGUCACUCUCACGUGACGGCCAGCAUGCCUUGAUCUUGGUCGGGGUGUGUCAAUGCAGCUAUAGGCAUGCCAAUGUUGUUGAAAUCACUAAAACAAUGAAAACUAUGAAGUCUUACUUCACGUGAAGCUUUUAAAGCAUUGAAUUCAUAUCCAAUUCACCAAUUUUUUUUUUUUCAAUCAACAUGUUUGUAGUUUCAUUGGUUUGAGUUCAGUUUUGCAAUGGAGGGUGAGAUUGGUUUUGAGAGUUGAAGAAGAUAAAUAAUUUUGAGAUAU
RNAcentral lists this long non-coding RNA (727 nucleotides) under Malus domestica (apple). RNAcentral describes it as "long non-coding RNA (MDOM_LNC000788)". The record is from RNAcentral. Lineage: Eukaryota; Viridiplantae; Streptophyta; Magnoliopsida; Rosales; Rosaceae.